AAAUAUCCCACAGGCUAGGAGAGCCCAGCAGAAUGCCCAAUAAGAAAUGUACUUGGAAUAAAGCACUCUGUCUGUGCGUUAAGUUUGGUUCUAAAGCGGUACAACCGCUUUGGUUAAAGCCCUACUGCCCCCAUAUAAAGAAGUGGAGUUCAUACUUCAGAGUCCAGUACCAUUCUACUCGUCUAAAACUUACAAAUAAGAUUUUGCAACGUGGCAAGUGCGUGAUGCUGAUGACACCAAGCAGAACAAUUUCGAGUUACUGACGUAUGUUAUCACUGAUGUGAAUGGAUAGUCCCGUAAUUUUAGAUCCAGUCAAUUGAAAGUGAUCAGAAUAUCAUUUGAAGAUCAAAACACUUGUUCUUCAAAAUGAAUAUCGAACGUAUUGGAUUAUUUUUCUUAAUAAUUACUAUUUUGGGUUUUUUAAUUACAUCCCGGAAUCAUCUGACGGUUAACCCCGAAUGCAAUUUGGAUAACGUGAGAAGUUCCCGCCAAAAUAUUAUUCCAUUAGGCCAAGAUGACGAAGAUGUUUUGGUUUUCGUGCAUAUUUCUGAUCUGCACAUCAGUCACUUUACAGCAGAAGAUAGAUACGAGCAACUUAAUGAGUUUUGCAGCAUAAAUUUAAAAGCUAUCAGUCCUCACCUGGUUCUUGCAAGUGGGGAUUUAACUGAUUCUGUUGCUCCUGGCAAAGUUACGCAGUUUAUUGAAGAAUGGAAGAUGUAUGAAGAUGUGUACACUAAAUGUCAAAAUGAAUCUGGGGUCCCUCAUUGGUUGGAUGUUAGAGGAAAUCAUGAUAACUUCAACAUUCAUAGAUACAACAGUUCCAACAGCUAUUACCCACAGUUUGGAUCACAAAGGAAAAAUCCUGGAUCUUACAUGACUAUUAUCAAGACCAAUGAAAGGACAAAAUAUGCUUUCAUCGCCGUAGAUGCUACUCUUGAAAUAGGCCCAAAACGAUUACUAAAUUUUGUCGGGCAAUUGGACGAUAAUCGCUUGUCAAAGUUAAAAGAAUUGGAUAAAAACGCCACUCAAUUAAAUGUUAAUGGAACUAUUUGGUUUGGUCAUUAUCCAUCUUCGAGUAUCUUCAAUUCCGGACUGCGUCCUGGUUUGCGCGAUGUCGCCUCCAAGGGAAUCGCCUAUUUAUGCGGACAUUUCCACACUCUUUUCGGCAUUGUACCUAAAAUGUAUUCGCGCCACCAUUCGGGAAUGUUGGAACUAGAACUUGCUGACUGGAAGGACCGUCGAAUGUAUCGAGUUGCAGUACUCGACAAAGGAUUAUUUUCUUUCGAUGAUGUUGAACAUAAUAGUUGGCCGGUUAUAGUUGUGACUAAUCCAAAACCGCUGUUGACGGUUCAUCCUUGUCAGCAGCCCAAUGAAUUAAUGGCUAAUUCGACCCACAUUCGAAUUUUCAUAUUUUCUCCUUCGCCAAUCGAAUUUUGCGAGGUGAGAUUGGAUCAUGGAACUUGGGAUCCAUGUAAACUAACAGGCCAAAAAUAUCCCCUAUAUACCGCGCCUUGGCAAGCGGAACUCUACGCUAAAGGCCCUCACACACUUGGAGUGAGAGCCAAAGAUUCUACCGGAUCCGAGAAAAUUACGGAAAUCGAAUUUGCUUUGGACAACACAAUGCCACAUUACCCGUGGAGAGCACGAAUAGCUCUGAUGUGGGAUUUUACUACUAUGAGUAAAGUGGUAUUCUGGGUUUCAAUCUUUUUUUGUACAGUACCAUUUUUGUUCGUGAACUUUCUACAGAGGCGAAUCACGUAUCGACUGCUGUCGCCGCUGCGAGUUAAAUAUCGUUGUGUUAACCUACUGAUCAGAAAAUUCUGGGUUUUUUCUGGCAUCAAAAAGUUAUUCUACCCGGUUUUGGCCUACAGCAUAUACCUAUGCGUUGGACCUUGGCUUGCAGGCUAUUUAAUCGACGACCGCAUUGGUGUUGUUUUCGCUUGGGGAACUUUUUUCCAAGAUGGAAUAUUUCUAAAAGGAACUACAACGUAUUUAUACGGCGGUAUUCACAUUAUCCUAUUCAAUGGGCCACUUAUUUGCAUUCUUGCUCACACUGCAGAUGUGAGGUUCCGGGAGACAAGAACUGGAAAUAGAGCCUACAGCCGCACUUUUUUCACGAAAUUUAUGCUCCAUGUUCCUAUUUUGUUGUUUGUUAUUUUUCACUGUACCACUUGCUUGAUAUUUAUGCACUCUUAUGGAUGGUAUACCCUACUGCUCAACCCUGCGCGAUUCUGGAGUUUGUUUCUCUCUCUCUACCUUUGGUGGAAAGCGAAAACAUUAAACUCGUUGGAUUUCACAAAUGUCGCGAGAACCUGGAACUAGAAUAUGUCGUUUUCCCAAUAAAAUUAACCAUUCUUACCAAAAACCUCUCCAUUUAAGUCCACCUUUUUCCGCCCGUCUUCACUUUUUCCACUUCUUUAUAGAUUGCACCUUUAACAGUCGCUGUCAUGUUGAUCCCAUCUUUUGCCUACAUCAAUCAUUGUGAUGAUGAAGUGAAGUUGUGCUACACUUCCUUCAAAAUUUGCUUUUGGUGGAAAGUAGUAAAACAUUCCUUUGCCGUUCCCUCACUCGACAGAAAAGCUGUAGGUCGGUUAAAAUUUUGCAAACAUUUUGUCAAACUUACCACAACAGCAUUACUAAUUUUUGCGAUGAUUGUUAAUAUGUGUAAUACAAUUUAAAUUUCGUA
Molecule: unclassified non-coding RNA, 2686 nt
Filed under: Daphnia pulicaria
Lineage: Eukaryota; Metazoa; Arthropoda; Branchiopoda; Diplostraca; Daphniidae
Description: transmembrane protein 62-like, transcript variant X2
Source: RNAcentral